Molecule: ribosomal RNA, 495 nt
Filed under: uncultured bacterium
Lineage: Bacteria
Description: partial 16S ribosomal RNA
Rfam family: Bacterial small subunit ribosomal RNA
Source: RNAcentral
GGGGGGGGGGGGGGGGGGGGGGGGGGGGGGGAGGGGGGGGGGGGGGGCGAGGGGCGGGCGCCUGGGACGGGGGCGGCGGACGGGUGAGUAACACGUGGAGAACCUACCUAUAAGACUGGGAGAACUUCGGGAAACCGGAGCUAAGACCGGAUAAUAUAUGGAACCGCAUGGUUCAAUAGUGAAAGACGGUUUUGCUGUCACUUAUAGAUGGAUCCGCGCCGCAUUAGCUAGUUGGUAAGGUAACGGCUUACCAAGGCGACGAUGCGUAGCCGACCUGAGAGGGUGAUCGGCCACACUGGAACUGAGACACGGUCCAGCCUCCUACGGGAGGCAGCAGUAGGGAAUCUUCCGCAAUGGGCGAAAGCCUGACGGAGCAACGCCGCGUGAGUGAUGAAGGUCUUCGGAUCGUAAAACUCUGUUAUUAGGGAAGAACAAAUGUGUAAGUAACUAUGCACGUCUUGACGGUACCUAAUCAGAAAGCCACGGCUAACUACG